RNAcentral lists this ribosomal RNA (1444 nucleotides) under Lactiplantibacillus plantarum. RNAcentral's name for it is "bacterial SSU rRNA". It matches the Rfam family "Bacterial small subunit ribosomal RNA". Lineage: Bacteria; Bacillati; Bacillota; Bacilli; Lactobacillales; Lactobacillaceae. The record is from RNAcentral.
GCUAUACAUGCAAGUCGAACGAACUCUGGUAUUGAUUGGUGCUUGCAUCAUGAUUUACAUUUGAGUGAGUGGCGAACUGGUGAGUAACACGUGGGAAACCUGCCCAGAAGCGGGGGAUAACACCUGGAAACAGAUGCUAAUACCGCAUAACAACUUGGACCGCAUGGUCCGAGUUUGAAAGAUGGCUUCGGCUAUCACUUUUGGAUGGUCCCGCGGCGUAUUAGCUAGAUGGUGGGGUAACGGCUCACCAUGGCAAUGAUACGUAGCCGACCUGAGAGGGUAAUCGGCCACAUUGGGACUGAGACACGGCCCAAACUCCUACGGGAGGCAGCAGUAGGGAAUCUUCCACAAUGGACGAAAGUCUGAUGGAGCAACGCCGCGUGAGUGAAGAAGGGUUUCGGCUCGUAAAACUCUGUUGUUAAAGAAGAACAUAUCUGAGAGUAACUGUUCAGGUAUUGACGGUAUUUAACCAGAAAGCCACGGCUAACUACGUGCCAGCAGCCGCGGUAAUACGUAGGUGGCAAGCGUUGUCCGGAUUUAUUGGGCGUAAAGCGAGCGCAGGCGGUUUUUUAAGUCUGAUGUGAAAGCCUUCGGCUCAACCGAAGAAGUGCAUCGGAAACUGGGAAACUUGAGUGCAGAAGAGGACAGUGGAACUCCAUGUGUAGCGGUGAAAUGCGUAGAUAUAUGGAAGAACACCAGUGGCGAAGGCGGCUGUCUGGUCUGUAACUGACGCUGAGGCUCGAAAGUAUGGGUAGCAAACAGGAUUAGAUACCCUGGUAGUCCAUACCGUAAACGAUGAAUGCUAAGUGUUGGAGGGUUUCCGCCCUUCAGUGCUGCAGCUAACGCAUUAAGCAUUCCGCCUGGGGAGUACGGCCGCAAGGCUGAAACUCAAAGGAAUUGACGGGGGCCCGCACAAGCGGUGGAGCAUGUGGUUUAAUUCGAAGCUACGCGAAGAACCUUACCAGGUCUUGACAUACUAUGCAAAUCUAAGAGAUUAGACGUUCCCUUCGGGGACAUGGAUACAGGUGGUGCAUGGUUGUCGUCAGCUCGUGUCGUGAGAUGUUGGGUUAAGUCCCGCAACGAGCGCAACCCUUAUUAUCAGUUGCCAGCAUUAAGUUGGGCACUCUGGUGAGACUGCCGGUGACAAACCGGAGGAAGGUGGGGAUGACGUCAAAUCAUCAUGCCCCUUAUGACCUGGGCUACACACGUGCUACAAUGGAUGGUACAACGAGUUGCGAACUCGCGAGAGUAAGCUAAUCUCUUAAAGCCAUUCUCAGUUCGGAUUGUAGGCUGCAACUCGCCUACAUGAAGUCGGAAUCGCUAGUAAUCGCGGAUCAGCAUGCCGCGGUGAAUACGUUCCCGGGCCUUGUACACACCGCCCGUCACACCAUGAGAGUUUGUAACACCCAAAGUCGGUGGGGUAACCUUUUAGGAACCAGCCGCC